UACGGGGGGGGCAAGCGUUGUUCGGAAUUACUGGGCGUAAAGGGCUCGUAGGCGGCCAACUAAGUCAGACGUGAAAUCCCCAGGCUUAACCUGGGAACUGCGUCGGAUACUGGAUGGCUUGAGUUUGGGAGAGGGAUGCGGAAUUCCAGGUGUAGCGGUGAAAUGCGUAGAUAUCUGGAGGAACACCGGUGGCGAAGGCGGCAUCCUGGACCAACACUGACGCUGAGUGAGCGAAAGCCAGGGGAGCAAACGGG
Molecule: ribosomal RNA, 254 nt
Filed under: uncultured bacterium
Lineage: Bacteria
Description: partial 16S ribosomal RNA
Rfam family: Bacterial small subunit ribosomal RNA
Source: RNAcentral